GUUCAUAGUGCCUUCGAUAGGGAUCUCGCAAGGUUCUUUUGGCAGGCGGCCAACGGCUGCCAAAAGUACCACAUGGUAAAAUGGGCGGACAUUUGCAUGCCCAAGGACCAUGGUAGUUUGGGCAUCAUCGCCUCGCACCGUAUGAAUGUGGCGCUCAUGUUAAGAUGGGCCUGGCGCAUCCUACGCGGCGAGGGAGGAUUAUGGCUACAGCUCAUUCAAGCGAAAUACCUGAGGGGAGACCCACUCUUAGCAUGUAACCGGUCGGAAGGAUCCCAAUUCUGGAGAGCCAUUCAAAGCAUCAAGGAGGACAUCCGCCUAGGGGUGUCCUUCUCCUUAGGGAAUGGGAAAGGGAUCCAACUAUGCUUGGAUCCUUGGCUGAAUACUGAACCCCUUCGAGUGUCCUUUCUA
Molecule: ribosomal RNA, 408 nt
Filed under: Triticum aestivum (bread wheat)
Lineage: Eukaryota; Viridiplantae; Streptophyta; Magnoliopsida; Poales; Poaceae
Description: partial small subunit ribosomal RNA
Source: RNAcentral